ACUGUCACAUUUUCAAAGGUCACUCUACCUGGGGUAGAGUUGGAGAAGCCUGAAAAUUCAACUAUGGAUGACAUGUUUUAAUGGUACUUUCCAUAGCCCUGAGAGCAUCUGGGUCUCAAAAUACUUGCUUAUUAAUUAUAAUAGCAUCUAACGUUGCCUGAGUACUUACCAUGUGCCAGCACUGAGCACUUUAUGUACAUUAUUUCUUCAUCUUCACAACCUUGGGUAUUAUUAACCCUAUUUGAAAAGGUGCCAUCAGUUUUCACCUGGACUUUGACAUCAUCACCUUAUCUCCCAACAUUCAUGUUCUUAACACGAUGGCCAAUGAUAAAGGGAUUUGUCCUGGAACAUUACAUAGAUCACAUUGAAACUGACAGCACUAACAGCCUGAACCUAGCCAGAACACAGAUUGCGACUUGAACCCACGUGCUGGGACUUGAACCCAGCCAAAAGCCAGAUUGGGACUUAAACCCAUAGUUUUAAACUUGAGUUGUUCACCUUGUGUCUGGACUCACCAAGGUUCAGGUUCUUCUAUGUCUCCAUGCAGAAGGAAUUCAGCAAGAGACAAAGGGAUAGGUAAGAAACACAUUUACCAGGAUACGAUGCUUGAGGAGAUGCCAGCAGGCAGGCAAGGAAGCUCUGACAGAGGAUCCCAUGGGCCACAGUUUUAUCAUCCAUGGGGUGUGGGGAUUGGAAAGACCCGCCUCCUCCUUUCUGGGAGUCGUAGCUCCUCCUUAUGUCUGGUAAGGUGUGUAUUCAAAUCAGCUGAAGGGUUGUCUUCAAACUCUUGCCCUUGGUCUGAAUCCGAAUGCAGGCCUCAUCCCAUCCCCCACCCAAUGACCUGAAGCAAGCCUCACACCUCCGCUAUUUAAGCAAGUCUGCCUUGUUCUGAUGGUUUUCUUGAACUUACAGUGGUCUCCCAACAUCUCCCAGGUUUCCCUAUUUAUCUAUGACCCCUACUGAGACUUCUACAACCACCUGCGCCUACUUCAUCCCUAUCAACAUCACUGCCUCCCACUUCAUUCUACUCCCUUCUCCCUCUAUCUCUCCUUAGAAACAUUAAUGCUUUCCUACUGCUCUUCGUUUAAAGGACAAAAUCCUUAGCAUGGCUCUGUACUGGCCCUACACCCCAUCCAGCUUUAUUUCAUAACCCCCAUCUCCCUAAUUCUCGGUAUGACAGCUAAACAGCUCCAGGCUCCCUCCUCAGACCUCUAACUCUCAGUCUCACUCUUCCUUCACCCACCCAUUCUCAACUCUACCUUCAGCCCAAGAGUCACUUACUUAGUCAGGGAAGCCUCACCUGACCUCCCAAAGCUUACCUGCCCUUUUGUAGCACCAGGCUCCUCCCCUCCACACUCGUUAGCACACUGGGAAUUUGACACCUUUGAUUAAUACCUUUGACUAAUUUGAUAGCUUUUCAUUAAUGAGGACAUGUGGUCCUCAGAGUUUGGUUUGGGACCAGGAGCACCAGUAUCACCUAAGAACUUACCAGAAAUGGAAAUUCUGGGCUACCACCUCAGAAAUUGAGGAGCAGCAUGCAGCUUUGUUCAAUUCUGCAGGUGAUUUUGAUGCUUGCUAAAUUUUUAGAAGUAAUGCAAACUGUAAGCUCCAAGAGGAAAUUUUGGGAUCAUCAUCAUGUUUCACCAUAUUUGAUGAUGAAUGACUCAAGUUGAAAAACCCAAGACUCUGAAAGGUUAAAUAACUUGUCCAAAAUCAAAGAUUUGGCAAGUAAUAAAAUCAAGAAGAAUGAUUAUUUAUCACUAUGUUUGCAACCAUUUUUUUUUUCAUUCCAAGAAAAACCAAAAAAUGUUGCUCAUUCAUAUUUACACUGAAUAAUACUUGGACCAGCUUCCGAAAUUCCUCUUUCCCUUUUAUAUAUUCCAUAUACCCUCACUUUUAUAAACACUGAUGACAGGAUAUUAAGUCAUAAAUACACAAUAAAAGUGCAUAGGAGUUUCUAAAAACCUUACUUCUGUAUUCUAUAGGCCAUAACCAGGAUGAGAUAAAGUAAAGUUAUAAAAGUCAUUAUAAGAAGGUUGCUUUAAAUUUAGAAAACAGCAACAUACUACACAAAGACAAGUGAGAUGUCAGUAAAUAAUUUGGAAAUUACACAAUAAUGGAAGUGGAU
RNAcentral lists this long non-coding RNA (2128 nucleotides) under Sus scrofa (pig). RNAcentral's name for it is "lncRNA (ENSSSCG00015036934.1)". The record is from RNAcentral. Lineage: Eukaryota; Metazoa; Chordata; Mammalia; Artiodactyla; Suidae.